This 253-nucleotide ribosomal RNA is filed under the name uncultured bacterium. Its description in RNAcentral is "partial 16S ribosomal RNA". It matches the Rfam family "Bacterial small subunit ribosomal RNA", at positions 524 to 776 of the family's 1533-position model. The record is from RNAcentral.
UACGUAGGGUGCAGGCGUUAAUCGGAAUUACUGGGCGUAAAGCGUGCGCAGGCGGUUUGCUAAGACAGGUGUGAAAUCCCCGGGCUUAACCUGGGAACUGCGCUUGUAACUGGCAAGCUAGAGUGUGGCAGAGGGGGGUGGAAUUCCAGGUGUAGCAGUGAAAUGCGUAGAGAUCUGGAGGAACAUCAGUUGCGAAGGCGGCUCUCUGGACCAGCACUGACACUGAGGCACGAAAGCGUGGGGAGCAAACAGG